UAACUUUGACAGGUGCAAGACGAAAGAUCGCAUAAUUUCGCAAAUUGGUGAUAUACAUACAUUUACUUUAUAAAAACGAAGAGAAGAUAAUAAAAUUGUGUUUCUUACAUUUUUUUAACAUAUAAACAUAAAGCAUGGCUGGCCCGAUGGAAAGAAUUACAGUUCUCGACGAUAUUGAAAAGGAAAUUAUAACAUGUUUACAAUGUGCAGCACAAGCUCUCCUCGAACUAGGCAAAGAAAAGUCUAGCCAAAAGCAGGCAGAAUCCAACACGUCUCAAUUUCUGAGGACACUCAGUCAGGUCGAGAGCAAAUUGAGUGAUCAGAUCAACUAUUUGACGCAAGUUUCCACCGGUCAGCCGCACGAGGGUUCGGGCUACGCUUCACAGAAAGUGCUGCAGAUGGCGUGGCACCGGCUGGAGCAUGUACGCUCCUGGGUCAACGAACUGGACCGCCUAAAAGCUUCACAUUUAGCGGCUAGCACCAGGAGUGUGGCUAGCAACGUCCCCAAUGGAAACAUGACUAACUCUGGAACGAGCACAUGAUUACAGUGUUACAACAUAUUUCAGUAAAUCAUCCAAUUGUACAUAAACAUGGUAUGAUACAGUGGAUUGGUACAUUCUCAGUGAAAGGACUAUGUAGCCCCAAGUAGGGUAAUUGAUGAAGGACUUGUGUAAUCACUAAUCAUAAUUGAUAAUUAGGUUGGAAAGGAUGUAUGCUAAUGAAUGUGUUUAAUCAAGCAAUGUUUUGUUACAUAUUUAGUAUACUAUUAUACAAACUUAACAACAAUGAUCAUUAUCAUUAGAUAAUGUUACUUUCAUGAUAAAUUAGAAUUAAUAAUGGUAUUAUUAGUGCAUUAGCAACAAAACUAAUGUACUACAAUGUAAUAAAAUGCAGUUUAACUGAAUAUGACACUGGUAUUAGUGCCAUUCUCAAGCAGAAGGAACUGUUGCAUAAGGCGUAAAUACGACGACUUAUGUCGCUUGUGUGGGCCACAGCUAAGGAUGCUGUGACAGAUAAUUUUAUUGGUACAAGCAAACAUUCUUAUGUUAUAUAGCAACCAUGUUAUGCCUUUUACUUGAGAAAGUCACAUUUUUCAUGUACUAUAAUAUUGUUUUCCCUUCACUAGCUCGGAAACACGUGUUUUGUCCUUUAAUAUCAGUGGGUAAAAACGCAUUUUAUCCACUAGUAGGUAAAGUAAUUUGACCUCGAAUAAAGUCAAAUUAACUGCUUUAAAAUUCA
Molecule: unclassified non-coding RNA, 1239 nt
Filed under: Leguminivora glycinivorella
Lineage: Eukaryota; Metazoa; Arthropoda; Insecta; Lepidoptera; Tortricidae
Description: mediator of RNA polymerase II transcription subunit 11, transcript variant X1
Source: RNAcentral